CCUACGGGAGGCAGCAGUAGGGAAUUUUCCGCAAUGGGCGAAAGCCUGACGGAGCAAUACCGCGUGAGGGAUGACUGCCUAUGGGUUGUAAACCUCUUUUUUCAGGGAGGAAUAAAUGACGUGUACCUGAAGAAUAAGCAUCGGCUAACUCCGUGCCAGCAGCCGCGGUAAGACGGAGGAUGCAAGUGUUAUCCGGAAUCACUGGGCGUAAAGCGUCUGUAGGUGGCUCGACAAGUCAACUGUUAAAUCUUGAAGCUCAACUUCAAAAUCGCAGUCGAAACUAUCGGACUAGAGUAUAGUAGAGGUAAAGGGAAUUUCCAGUGGAGCGGUGAAAUGCGUAGAGAUUGGAAAGAACACCGAUGGCGAAGGCACUUUACUGGGCUAUUACUGACACUCAGAGACGAAAGCUAGGGUAGCAAAUGGGAUUAGAUACCCCAGUAGUCCUAGCCGUAAACAAUGGAUACUAGGUGUUGAACAGAUCGACCUGUGCAGUACCAAAGCUAACGCGUUAAGUAUCCCGCCUGGGAAGUAUGCGACGCGAGUAGUGAACGUAACGUAAAGAAAGUUAGUUACGUCGUUGAGACGUUGCCGACGGACGACGACGAGGGGAGGAGGAG
Molecule: ribosomal RNA, 617 nt
Filed under: uncultured bacterium
Lineage: Bacteria
Description: bacterial SSU rRNA
Rfam family: Bacterial small subunit ribosomal RNA (bases 1-522)
Source: RNAcentral